GUUAGCGGCGGACGGGUGAGUAACACGUGGGUAACCUACCUAUAAGACUGGGAUAACUUCGGGAAACCGGAGCUAAUACCGGAUAACAUUUAGAACCGCAUGGUUCUAAAGUGAAAGAUGGUUUUGCUAUCACUUAUAGAUGGACCCGCGCCGUAUUAGCUAGUUGGUAAGGUAACGGCUUACCAAGGCGACGAUACGUAGCCGACCUGAGAGGGUGAUCGGCCACACUGGAACUGAGACACGGUCCAGACUCCUACGGGAGGCAGCAGUAGGGAAUCUUCCGCAAUGGGCGAAAGCCUGACGGAGCAACGCCGCGUGAGUGAUGAAGGGUUUCGGCUCGUAAAACUCUGUUAUUAGGGAAGAACAAAUGUGUAAGUAACUGUGCACAUCUUGACGGUACCUAAUCAGAAAGCCACGGCUAACUACGUGCCAGCAGCCGCGGUAAUACGUAGGUGGCAAGCGUUAUCCGGAAUUAUUGGGCGUAAAGCGCGCGUAGGCGGU
Molecule: ribosomal RNA, 501 nt
Filed under: Staphylococcus xylosus
Lineage: Bacteria; Bacillati; Bacillota; Bacilli; Caryophanales; Staphylococcaceae
Description: bacterial SSU rRNA
Rfam family: Bacterial small subunit ribosomal RNA
Source: RNAcentral